AUGAUUUAUAAACCAGGCCUUUGCCUUGAGAUCUGAAAUUCCCCAGAGCAGCAUGGGCAUCAAGAUGAAGUCACAGACUCAGGUGUCCAUAUUCCUGUUGCUCUGGUUGUCUGGUGUUGAUGGAGACAUUGUGAUGACCCAGUCUCACAAAACCUUGUCCACAUCAGUAGGAGACAGGGUCACCAUCAGCUGCAAGGCUAGUCAGAAUGUGGGUACUGCUGUAGCCUGGUAUCAACAGAAUCCAGGGCAUUCUCCUAAACUGCUGAUAGCCGGGGCAUCCAACCGUUUCACUGGGGUCCCUGAUCGCUUCACAGGAAGUGGAUCUGGGACAGAUUUUACUCUCACCAUCAGCAGUGUGCAGGCAGAAGACCUGGCAGUUUAUUACUGCCAGCAGUAUAGCAGCUAUCCUCCCACAGUGCUUCAGCCUCCUACACAAACCUCCUCUGAGAUUCUAACCAGCUGGCUGCACCACACAUCCACAGACCUACACACUUCCCCUCUGCCUGCAGCUGCUAAGCCUAACUGUUGCAAAGUUUGAAAAAACAUUAAUGAA
Molecule: non-coding RNA, 553 nt
Organism: Apodemus sylvaticus (European woodmouse)
Lineage: Eukaryota; Metazoa; Chordata; Mammalia; Rodentia; Muridae
Source: the annotation of a RefSeq genome assembly